AGUGAACGCUGGCGGUAGGCCUAACACAUGCAAGUCGAACGGCAGCACAGUAAGAGCUUGCUCUUACGGGUGGCGAGUGGCGGACGGGUGAGGAAUACAUCGGAAUCUACUUUUUCGUGGGGGAUAACGUAGGGAAACUUACGCUAAUACCGCAUACGACCUACGGGUGAAAGCAGGGGAUCUUCGGACCUUGCGCGAUUGAAUGAGCCGAUGUCGGAUUAGCUAGUUGGCGGGGUAAAGGCCCACCAAGGCGACGAUCCGUAGCUGGUCUGAGAGGAUGAUAAGCCACACGGGAACUGAGACACGGUCCAGAAACAAACGGGAGGCAGCAGAGGGAAAUGUUGGACAAAGGGGGGAAAAAUGAACAAGCCAUACCGCGUGGGUGAAGAAGGCCUUCGGGUUGUAAAGCCCUUUUGUUGGGAAAGAAAAGCAGCAGGUUAAUACCCCGCUGUUCUGACGGUACCCAAAGAAUAAGCACCGGAUAACUUCGUG
Molecule: ribosomal RNA, 492 nt
Filed under: uncultured bacterium
Lineage: Bacteria
Description: partial 16S ribosomal RNA
Rfam family: Bacterial small subunit ribosomal RNA
Source: RNAcentral